GAAUGAAGUUGAGUGGGGUUGUCGCUGGCCUCCGGGCAUGUGCACGCCUCGCUCGUCCACCCUUCUACACCUCUGUGCACUUCUCAUGGGUCGGGUUCUGCGCCUUCACGGGCUGCGUCCCUGCCUGUGUGUCUACAUACACAUGUUUGUUAUAGAAUGUCUAUUGUGCAUGAAUGCAUAUAAAUACAACUUUCAGCAACGGAUCUCUUGGCUCU
This 215-nucleotide unclassified non-coding RNA is filed under the name rhizosphere metagenome. Its description in RNAcentral is "partial ribosomal RNA internal transcribed spacer region". The record is from RNAcentral.